Molecule: ribosomal RNA, 643 nt
Filed under: uncultured bacterium
Lineage: Bacteria
Description: bacterial SSU rRNA
Rfam family: Bacterial small subunit ribosomal RNA
Source: RNAcentral
CAACAGUUGGAAACGUCUGCUAAUACCGCAUAAGCCCACGGCUCGGCAUCGAGCAGAGGGAAAAGGAGCAAUCCGUUUUGAGAUGGCCUCGCGUCCGAUUAGCUAGUUGGUGAGGUAACGGCCCACCAAGGCAACGAUCGGUAGCCGGACUGAGAGGUUGAACGGCCACAUUGGGACUGAGACACGGCCCAGACUCCUACGGGAGGCAGCAGUGGGGAAUAUUGCACAAUGGGGGAAACCCUGAUGCAGCGACGCCGCGUGGAGGAAGAAGGUCUUCGGAUUGUAAACUCCUGUUGUUGGGGAAGAUAAUGACGGUACCCAACAAGGAAGUGACGGCUAACUACGUGCCAGCAGCCGCGGUAAAACGUAGGUCACAAGCGUUGUCCGGAAUUACUGGGUGUAAAGGGAGCGCAGGCGGGAAGACAAGUUGGAAGUGAAAUCUAUGGGCUCAACCCAUAAACUGCUUUCAAAACUGUUUUUCUUGAGUAGUGCAGAGGUAGGCGGAAUUCCCGGUGUAGCGGUGGAAUGCGUAGAUAUCGGGAGGAACACCAGUGGCGAAGGCGGCCUACUGGGCACCAACUGACGCUGAGGCUCGAAAGUGUGGGUAGCAAACAGGAUUAGAUACCCUGGUAGUCCACACCGU